GUAAAAAUCCAGGGGCAGAACAAGGAGAUGUUGGCGGCCGCCUGUCAGAUGUUCCUGGGGAAGACGGAGGCUGAGAUUGCCCACAUUGCCCUGGAGACGUUAGAGGGCCACCAGAGGGCCAUCAUGGCCCACAUGACUGUGGAGGAGAUCUAUAAGGACAGGCAGAAAUUCUCAGAACAGGUUUUCAAAGUGGCCUCCUCAGACCUGGUCAACAUGGGCAUCAGUGUGGUUAGCUACACUCUGAAGGACAUUCACGAUGACCAGGACUAUUUGCACUCUUUGGGGAAGGCUCGAACAGCUCAAGUCCAAAAAGAUGCACGGAUUGGAGAAGCAGAGGCCAAGAGAGAUGCUGGGAUCCGGGAAGCUAAAGCCAAGCAGGAAAAGGUGUCUGCUCAGUACCUGAGUGAGAUCGAGAUGGCCAAGGCACAGAGAGAUUACGAACUGAAGAAGGCCGCCUAUGACAUCGAGGUCAACACCCGCCGAGCACAGGCUGACCUGGCCUAUCAGCUUCAG
RNAcentral lists this unclassified non-coding RNA (513 nucleotides) under Homo sapiens (human). RNAcentral describes it as "flotillin 1 (ENSG00000224740.8)". The record is from RNAcentral. Lineage: Eukaryota; Metazoa; Chordata; Mammalia; Primates; Hominidae.